AUUGAACGCUGGCGGCAUGCCUUACACAUGCAAGUCGAACGGCAGCACGGGAGCAAUCCUGGUGGCGAGUGGCGAACGGGUGAGUAAUACAUCGGAACGUGCCCAAUCGUGGGGGAUAACGCAGCGAAAGCUGUGCUAAAUACCGCAUACGAUCUACGGAUGAAGGCAGGGGAUCGCAAGACCUUGCGCGAAUGGAGCGGCCCGAUGGCAGAUUAGGUAGUUGGUGAGGUAAAGGCUCACCAAGCCGUCGAUCUGUAGCUGGGUUUGAGAGGCCGACCAGCCACACUGGGGACUGAGACACGGCCCCAGACUCCUACGGGAGGGCAGCAGUGGGGGAAUUUUUGGACAAUGGGCCGAAAAGCCUUGAUCCAGCCCUUGCCCGCGGGGCGGGGACGAAGGCCCUUCGGGGUUGGUAAACUGCUUUUUGUACCGGAACGAAAACCGCCUUUUUUCUAAAAAAAGAGGGGCUAAUGACGGUAACCGUAAGAAUAAAGCCCCCGGUUAAACUUACCGGCCCAGCAGGCCCCGGUAAUACGAAGGGGGGCAAGCCGUUAAUUGGAAAUUACUGGGGGGAAAAGCGUUGCCAGGCGGGUUUUGUAAAGAGGUUUGGGAAAUCCCCCCGGGCCUCAAUCUGGGGAACUGGCUUUUGGGAUUGCAUAGCUUGAGUAU
Molecule: ribosomal RNA, 669 nt
Filed under: uncultured Sphingobacteriales bacterium
Lineage: Bacteria; Pseudomonadati; Bacteroidota; Sphingobacteriia; Sphingobacteriales
Description: partial 16S ribosomal RNA
Rfam family: Bacterial small subunit ribosomal RNA
Source: RNAcentral